Molecule: ribosomal RNA, 588 nt
Filed under: uncultured bacterium
Lineage: Bacteria
Description: bacterial SSU rRNA
Rfam family: Bacterial small subunit ribosomal RNA
Source: RNAcentral
GCGUGCCUAACACUUGCAAGUCGAGCGAUUUACUUCGGUAAAGAGCGGCGGACGGGUGAGUAACGCGUGGGUAACCUGCCCUGUACACACGGAUAACACACCGAAAGGUAUGCUAAUACGGGAUAAUGUACUUUUGUCGCAUGGCAAAAGUAUCAAAGCUCCGGCGGUACAGGAUGGACCCGCAUCUGAUUAGCUAGUUGGAGAGGUAAUGGCUCACCAAGGCGACGAUCAGUAGCCGACCUGAGAGGGUGAUCGGCCACAUUGGGACUGAGACACGGUCCAAACUCCUACGGGAGGCAGCAGUGGGGAAUAUUGCACAAUGGGCGAAAGCCUGAUGCAGCAACGCCGCGUGAGCGAUGAAGGCCUUCGGGUCGUAAAGUUCUGUCCUCAAGGAAGAUAAUGACGGUACCUGAGGAGGAAGCCCCGGCUAACUACGUGCCAGCAGCCGCGGUAAUACGUAGGGGGCUAGCGUUAUCCGGAAUUACUGGGCGUAAAGGGUGCGUAGGUGGUUUCUUAAGUCAGAGGUGAAAGGCUACGGCUCAACCGUAGUAAGCCUUUGAACUGAGAACUUGAGUGCAGGAGAGGAGA